GGUUAAAAAAGUGUUUUGUGUAAGUUCAUGGUGUUUGUCCUAUUGUGAAUUGUGAUUAUCGGUACUGCGAUAAAUUCAGAAUAGUGUAGUAAAUACCGUUUUGUCAAGAAAACAGUACUAAACCUACAUAACCUCACUUCUACAUGCAAUGCAGAAAAUGCAAUUUCUCAACACAGACAAAAUGAUGAAUGUUCGGGCGCAACCAAAAAAAAAGAAGAAAUCGAGUUAGAAAUUGCGGGAGAUACGCAGAAAUUGAAUGAAUUGUUUCAGACUGAUAAUAAUGUUUAUUUGCCAGGAAGAGAAGACGUAAAAAACAUGUAUGCAAUUUUGAAGAAAUUAUUAAUAAUGAACCAAAUUGCUUUCAAGUUUUCAGGGAAAGGGAAAAAAUAAGCUCUCUUUUAGUAAACUCACAAUUAACAAGGCUAUAAUAUGUCAAGUUAUGUGAUUUCUUAAAAAUUACGAACUUUGUAAGUUAAUUUAAUUGUAGGUACCACACGGAAACGUCACAAAAACGCCACAACUACUGAAAUUUAAAAAAUGGUAGGACCUCAUUAAGCGCAGACAAAAGCAAGAAUGAAU
Zophobas morio is the source of this 579-nucleotide long non-coding RNA. RefSeq lists it as uncharacterized. The transcript is spliced from 3 exons. The record is from RefSeq and is a predicted model, not a curated record. NCBI's taxonomy places the organism in Eukaryota, Metazoa, Arthropoda, Insecta, Coleoptera, Tenebrionidae.